UCCGACAGGCGCGCGGGGGGGGGGCGGGUACGGGCCCCGGUGGGACCCAUCGGCGCGUUCCUGCUAGAAUAAGGGGAAACAAAUCCCCGCAGUUCCCGGAGUCACCCUGCCUGCUGUGCCGGUGCCCCGCCCGCUGGGUUUAUUUCGUGGCGCGCAGGGACAGCCGUCCCGCCGGGACACUGCCACCGGGGCAUGGGAGACGCCGUGCCGGGGGCGGGGCUCCGCCGGUUCGGUUGAUGGCGGCGGCGCGGCGAUGAUGCUGCCGCCGGGUCCAUCCUGCGCCGCAUAAGUACGGCGGUCGCUCCCUCCCUUUCCCGCCGGGUCCAUCCCUCGCCGCACAGCAUCCUGAAGUAUGGAGAACUUCAUUCUGUAUGAGGAGAUUGGAAGAGGAAAUAAGACAGUUGUUUAUAAAGGAAGAAGAAAGGGGACAAUUAAUUUUGUUGCCAUUCUUUGCACUGAUAAAUGCAAAAGAGCUGAAAUAACAAACUGGGUUCGUCUGACUCAUGAAAUCAGACACAAGAAUAUAGUGACAUUUCAUGAAUGGUAUGAAACAAGCAACCAUCUCUGGCUUGUAGUGGAACUAUGCACAGGUGGUUCUCUAGAAUCUGUCAUUGCUCAAGAUGAACAUCUACCUGAAGAUGUAGUGAGAGAAUUUGGUGUUGAAUUGAUUACUGGUUUAUACCAUAUUCAUGGGCUUGGAAUUAUCUUUUGUGAAUUAACACCUGGAAAGAUUCUGCUGGAAGGGUCUGGCACUUUGAAAUUCAGUAGUUUUUGCUUGGCUAAAGUGGAUGGUGAAAACUUGGAAGAAUUUUAUGCUUUAGUUGGAAACGAAGAAGGUGAAGAUGUUAGUGAAAGUACUCCACAAGGAUACUUGAAAAACAGAUUUCGAGGCUCUCCAUUGUACACAGCUCCAGAAGCAAUAAAGGGAGAUGACUUCAGCAAAGCCAGUGAUCUGUGGUCCUUGGGAUGUUUACUUUAUGAAAUGUUCUCAGGAAAACCACCAUUCUUCUCAGAAAGCUUUUCUGAAUUAAUUGAAAAGAUUUUAUAUGAAGAUCCAUUGCCACCUAGACCAGAGGGUUCUGCUUUUCACAAACCUUCUGCUGAGUUCAUCAGUUUGCUUGAUGGGUUGCUUCAAAAGGAUCCUCAGAAAAGGCUGAAUUGGACAGACCUAUUGCAGCAUCCGUUCUGGAAAGGAUCCCUUCGCCACUGUGGUACUGAGUCUGCAGACAAUCAAGGCACAAGCUCAAGCAGCAAUGAGGACACAGAGUCAUCAGUGUCUUGGAGUACGAAAGGGUCAGUGGAUACUCAUAAAAAUCUAGAUAACCUGUCAUCUUCAAGAGCAGAUCUUAAACUACCAAGCAGUUCUUUCAAAAUAGUAGAAACUCAGACCGAGUUACGCCCCAAAAGUGCAGUUGAUGGUGAAUCAAAUGAAUCCAUAUUUCUUCUGAGUUCUCGUCCCACACCUAGAACUAGCGCUGCAGUAGAAGUAAGUGAUGCUACUGCUGCCCCAAUCAAAAAUUUUCCACAAAGAGAUUCAUGCUUGAAGAAGGCUGAAAAUAUGUGCUCAAGUCAGCAGGAUAUGGAGUCAGCAUUGAGAGAGCUCAUUUACACUGAAUCUGAUCUUAUCAUAACGCCAAUCAUUGACAAUCCAAAGAUAAUAAAGCAAGUGUCAGUUAGAUUUGACUCAAAAACUUUACAUGUACCAGCACAUUCAGCUGAGAAGUUAUCAUCUAUGAAAGAUGUGGACUGGAAUAACUUCUUGAAAAGAGUAUGCUCACUGCUGGAUUCCACUGAGAAGAACACAGGAGCAGCACGUUCUAAACUGAACUUACUGUACUAUCUGUGCACUCUGGCUGUCCACAAGGAGAUUGCAAGCAGACUAAUGAGCUCUCAGCUGUUUCCUAUAUUGAUGCAGCAGCUGCGUGCAGCCACCAGCUGGGAUAUACGUGCUAAAGUUGCUCGAGUGAUUGGUUUACUGGCAUUACACACAUCUGAACUUGGAGAAAAUGUACCUGUUUCUGAGGCAGUUAUACUUUUAACUGAACUCAUCAGAGACAACUUCAGAAACAGCAAAUUGAAGCAGUGCCUUCUACCAGCACUCGGGGAGCUGCUUUACCUCGUAGCCAGGGAGGAGGAAAAAGGGGAGCACCCCAGAGAAUGCUGGGCUGUUCCCUCAGCUGCUUACACGGUGCUAAUGAGGUGUCUCCGGGAAGGGGAAGACCGGGUAGUGAACCAUUUGGCAGCAAAGAUAAUUGAAAAUGUUUGCACUACUCGUGCAUGCCAUGCACAAGGAUUUAUUACAGGAGAAAUUGGACCUGUCUUGUGGUACCUUUUCACACAUUCUGCAGUAGAUUCUUUGAAGAUAACUGCUGUUUCGGCUUUAUGCAGAAUUACUCGCUCCUCACCUAGUGCUUUCCAGAGUGUCAUUGAAAAAGUGGGAUUAACAGCCGUACUGAAUUCCUUGGCAAAUGGAAUAUGCAAAAUUCAGCAGUACAUGCUCACCAUGUUUUCAGCAAUGUUGUCAUGUGGGAUUCAUCUACAGAGAUUGAUUCAAGAAAAGGAUUUUGUGACUACAAUUACUCGAUUACUUGAAAGUCCUUCAACUUUUAUUCGAGCAAAAGCCUUUCUGGUGCUGCUACAAGUUUUGAUCAAUAACAGGGAGAUGUUGCUACUCAGUUGUCAAACAAGGCUCGUGAUUUAUAUUGAAAGAGACAGCAGGAAGACCACAUCAGGAAAAGAGCAGCAAGGUGGCAGUGAAUAUCUGUCAAAAUGCCUGGAUCUUCUCAUCUAUCACAUUGUGCGGGAGCUGCCAGGAAUUCUAGGUGACAUUCUCACUGCCCUAACUAAUGUCUCGGGACGUAAACACCCAUCAACGGUUCAGGCCAAACAACUGAAGAUGUGCCUUCCUAUGAUGCCUGUCGUGCUUCACCUUGUGACAUCCCAGGUAUUUCGUCCCCAGAUAAUCACAAAGGAGUUUCUUUUCAACUAUGGCACCUUACUUGAGUUCAUCAGAUCGAUAGAAUCAGGAGAAAUAAACUUGGACAGAGCAAUAGGGCAAGCUGCAUCAGAAGAAUUGAUUAAGACUACUUUCUUGACCUUUGAAGCAGUAACAGAGCAUCCCAGCUUGUUGACAAUCCAUCACUUGACUGUUGAAGACCGUAUCCUCCCACCACUGGUUUCUUUGGUCCACAGUCAGAAUGUGGAAUGGAGACUCUUCAGCUUGCGGUUGCUCUCAGAAACCACAUCACUGCUUUUAAGCCACGGGGUCAUGGAUGAGGAGAAAGGGGAGAGCCUUGACUCAAACAGCAAGCUUCUGUCUCUCAUUAGAGAUUUAUUGCUGCCUCAGUAUGAGCACAUUCUGAUGGCUCCGGACCCAGUACCACUGUAUGCUCUGAAACUGUUGGUGGCCCUGACUGAGCACAGCCCUGCUUCUGUGAGCCUCGUGGAAGAAAUCCAUCUUUUUCCAGUUCUUUUCCAAGUCAUUUUGGGACAUCAAGACAGUAUACUUGGGAAUACAAUGCAAACUGUAAUCGCCUUACUGAAUAACAUCGUUGCUAACAAAAGUACAAAUAUGAUGUUACUCUUUAAAGAAGGACUGGCUCAUCACAUCUGUAAUCUCCUAACAGAAGCUGUGGUUCUGUACUUGGAGGCAGAUGAUAAAAGCAGCACCAAGACAGUAAAUGCACUGCUUCUGUCCUUGCUUGACAUUUUGCAGUGCGUGCUUAUGUAUACAGCAAACAUUGUGCGCCAGACUUUGCAGGCACAGAAAUCUGGCACAGGAGGGGACACACAGGCUGCCGAAGACCUUCUGCUUAUCAAUAAACCCCUGACGGACCUAAUUAGCCUGCUUAUUCAACUGCUUCCCAGUGAAGAUACUGAAAUAUUUGUGAGUACUUCACAGUGCUUAUCAUUGCUGGUUCAGCUAUAUGGAGGGAACAGUCAGGAGAGUAUGUCUCCAGAAAAUAUGGACAGCUUUGCUGAAGUACUGAAGUCCAAAAAAGAUACACGACAACUGAAGCUUUUGUUGAGAAUUGUAAAGAGACUGAUAACUUCAAACAAGAAGCACUUGGAGAGCCUGAAGAAUGAUGGCAAUGCUCUUAUCCAAACUCUAGAGAGCCUGGCCCAAACUGCCAGCUCUCAUGCUGAUGUUGCUGUUGCUUCCUUGGCAUUUGAAAUUCUGAGAACAGCGGGACAUGAAAAUAUCAAGACUACCAAGUGAACUGGCCCACCGAAAUGUGCAGUUGUGUGCGCUGCUCAGCAUCUCAGUCCUGCAGGAACAUCUUCAGACGAGCUGAGCAGAUGUGACUGCCCUGGCUGUUCAUCUUAAGGGGUCCCAUCGUGCUCGUGACUGGCACUAGAAAAUACCUUUUCAUCAAGACAGACAAUAUUCUUCACCUCAAGCAACCAGAACCAAUCCCUGUGAUCACACAGAGGCUGUGUAUGGAUGAUACAUGUUACUGGGUUUUUACCCAGUAGCAGGAAUUUUUUGUCUGUGUGCCCCACUCUUUCCUAGUUUCCUGCACAGCUUAAACUGCACUGGUGGAGUGUCAUUCUCAGCUGCCAAUGCUCCUGGCUGGAGCUCUUCUUUGACAAUAGGUGCGAUGAUGACCCUGGCAGUUUGGCAUAUCCCCAUGAAAAGUUGGGACCCUAGGAAUGGUCCUUUAGAGCUUGCAGAUACCACAGAAUGUAAAGAAUUAAUGUCUUCUCCACAUGUGCUGUUAAGACCACUUCUUACUGUCAGUGCAGCAGCUCCAUGUUCCCACUGCACCUACCAAACACAGGUGCCUAUUGGCAGUUGCUGCUACAGCACCUGCCCUUGGACAGCCCAGUUAUCCACAGUAUGUGGAGGCAAGCAAACACCCCUGGGUAAACAGAUAUCACUGUGUGUGUCUUAAAGGAAUUAUUUUCUCAUAUUACUUCAAAUAUCACUGCGUAUCUUUCAUAGCUUAAUAGCUGGAGUUACUAGGAAUGGGGAAAAGUUCAGUGGUGGCUGUUAUUUGGUGCAGUGUUUUACAGUAAGGGUCAUCUAGCGUGAGUGUGGCAGAGAGGAACAAAGUGUGUUACUGGGUGAGACUUUCCCCUCUGCAGCUGCACUGCCUUUGGUCUGCAAGGGAGAGGGGGAGUGCUCUGGUAUGUGCUUCCCUUCAGCUCUCAUCACACUGAGCCACGAGCCUCUGCAGCCAAGGCCCUCUCUGAUCUCCUGCCGGCAAACUGCUGCCUGAGGUGGAAGUGACUGGGAGCUUUGCUCCCGCCGAGGCUGGUGACAGCUGCACGGUGCAGAUGUGCACUCUGUGGCUUAGUCGGCACUUUCAGAACCACUUUCCCGCUCCCAGCCACACAGGUGCUGCCUCCAGAGGAGUCAGUUACACACAGGUCUUAUCUUGCACAAUAACUGAAGACUGAGGACACCUGAAAAUGGGUUUAAGCUCCAGAACCAGCUGACAGGUUGCUAACAAAGGAUCUUUAUCUCACUGACCCUGUGACAGCACACUGCUGAAGGGAACUGAGGCAAGACACUGUUCUCACUUUCUGAAGCCCAGAAGUGAGCGUGGGGCUGGCAGGCCAGGCACGAAGUGUAGUUGCUAGGCUAGACCUCCCCUACGCUGAGGAACCUGCCAAAGCAAAGCAGCAGCAAGUCAAGGGGAAGAAUACUGCCUCAGAGGACUGCAGUAGGAAACCUCCAAACUCCAAAGGGUAACUAUUUCAUAGUGGGAUGAAAAAGGAAAUGAUUCUUGACUCCCUCCUCUGAAGUACUUAAAUGAUUGUGUAAUUCCAGGAUGAUU
Molecule: RNA transcript, 5783 nt
Organism: Lepidothrix coronata (blue-crowned manakin)
Lineage: Eukaryota; Metazoa; Chordata; Aves; Passeriformes; Pipridae
Gene: ULK4
Gene name: unc-51 like kinase 4
Exons: 38
Source: RefSeq, a predicted model, not a curated record